This 1267-nucleotide long non-coding RNA is filed under the name Numida meleagris (helmeted guineafowl). Its description in RNAcentral is "lncRNA (ENSNMEG00000021758.1)". The record is from RNAcentral. Lineage: Eukaryota; Metazoa; Chordata; Aves; Galliformes; Numididae.
CCAGAGCACGGAGCUAGCAUGCCAUUGACACUGAAGUUUUUCUUUGUGAAUGAAUCAGGCACUGACACCUGAUCUUUGGAGGUGUGGAGAGGUGAAGCACUUGGAGAUAUGCAAGCGAGACCUGAAGCUGCUUCUGCUGCUGUUGCUUUGCUUAUGUUAGGUUUCUCCUUUUCUGGAAGCAGUGACAAUUCCACGAGGACAAUUUUCAUCACAGUAAAGAGAAUGGCUGCUGAUCCAGGCCAGUAUGUGCAUCACAGGCAGAACUGAAAGACCAGCCUCAGUCAGCUGCUGUGCAGGAAGAAGACAUUGAACAUUUUUUUUAAGCCAUUCCAAUGGGUGUUGUGAAAUCAUACAGCCUUUGCCUACUAGAUAAAACCAAAAGGACUGUAAGUUCUUCAUGAGAAAGACUGAGGGAUUGUACAUACUGUAUUUCAUUGCACUUUUUGUAUUUGAUUCUUUUCAGUUGUUUUCUUUGUGUGUGUGAACAAUUGAAUUAUUGCAUCAUGAAAAAUGUUAAAGCAAACAGUAUAGAAAUAUUUUAUCUUUUUUUCUCCAAAUGAAUUUUCAGUGACAAAAAUACAAUCUAACCACUUUAGCAGUGUCUUCUGGCUUAAACAGUAGGUGGACAGCCUGUCAUUACAGGAUCACUUGGCAAAGAGUAAAGAAUGAGCAAGAUUUAAUCUCAAUUAUCUGUAACUACUAGCUCAAAGAAUAAGUAAUCUCUGUAUAUGUGGUAGUCUUGUGUUGUCCUAUAUGAUUUUUUGAGAAUUAUUUGAGCAGAAGAAUUUACCAGAACGUUGCUGUCAAGCAAGAGAGGAACACAAGUUUUACAGGAGCAAGAGAAGUGAUGAACUAACCUAGAACUAACAAGUUAUUUAACAGUAUCUGUGGCAGAAUUUUUUUUCCUUAACAUAAGGAUUUCUUAAAUUAACAAUCUACAGACUUGAAUGUAGAGUCUAAUAGUUCAUUAUUUCAACAUGUGCUAUUAUUUUUAAUAUGUGAAAGUUUAAUAGUUUUGUUUGUCAGACAGUGAGGGCUAUUGUAAAUGCAAGAUACAGCUUUUUUUCCAUCAGACGUUCUUCAUUGUGAUCCAGCAAGAUUUUUACUGUAGGCUAUUGUGAAUUCAUGAUUCCUUGUUGAGAAGAGUAGAACAAGAAAAAGUCAAACUAACUUAUCGUACUUGAAACAGUCAUUCAUUUUUAAUUGGCACUAACUGAAAGUGGUGGGAAAUAUAUUUAAUGCAAAAUAUGCACUUGAAUGUUUUAUU